This 247-nucleotide ribosomal RNA is filed under the name uncultured bacterium. Its description in RNAcentral is "partial 16S ribosomal RNA". It matches the Rfam family "Bacterial small subunit ribosomal RNA", at positions 524 to 772 of the family's 1533-position model. The record is from RNAcentral.
UACGUAGGUGGCAAGCGUUGUCCGGAUUUAUUGGGUUUAAAGGGUGCGUAGGCGGUUUUUAAGUCAGUGGUGAAAUACGGCAGCUCAACUGUCGAGGUGCCAUUGAUACUGGGAAACUUGAGUACUGAUGAGGUAGGCGGAAUGGACGGUGUAGCGGUGAAAUGCUUAGAUAUCGUCAAGAACACCGAUAGCGAAGGCAGCUUACUGGGCUGUAACUGACGCUGAGGCACGAAAGUGUGGGAUCAAA